RNAcentral lists this ribosomal RNA (594 nucleotides) under Macrophthalmus banzai. RNAcentral describes it as "partial 16S ribosomal RNA". Lineage: Eukaryota; Metazoa; Arthropoda; Malacostraca; Decapoda; Macrophthalmidae. The record is from RNAcentral.
GGAGAGAAUAAGAAAAAUAAUUUUCGUAAUUUUAGUAAUUUUUAAUGAAAAUAAAGUAAAGACUAAAGAGAAAAGUACUGUGAAGGAAAGUUGUUAAAACUUUUUAUAGAAGAAGUAAAAUUUUGUGCCUCGUGUAUCAGAAAAAGUUUAUAUAGUUUAAUUACAAUAAGUAUCUCGAAAUAAAAUACAGUAAUUUUUAUAAAAUUUUCUUUUUAGAAAAAAAGAAUUUAAUAUAAAAUUUAAAGUGAAAUGCUAGCUGAGUUUUAUGAUAUCUAGUUUUUUUAAAAAUAAAUUUAAUUUAAUUUUUAUAAAGAAAAAGUUAUAAAAUUAAAUGGUAGGGGGGAUUAGCUCUUUACGGAAAAGAUAAUGAAAUAGUUAAAUAAAAGUAAAUUAUAUAUAAAUUAGGCUUAGAAGUAGCUAUAUUGAAAAAGUGUUUUAACUAAAUUAUAAUUGCUUGAAUAUUUAAAAUAAAACUUUUCUUAGGUAUAAAAAAAUGGCUUAAACAAAACAAAACAAGAUAUGAUGAUUUUAUUAGUAAAAUUUAUUGAGUAAAUAAAGAUAUUAAAAGGUAAAAAUUGUUUAAAAAAAUAAGUA